UACGGGGGGAGCAAGCGUUGUUCGGAUUUACUGGGCGUAAAGGGCUCGUAGGUGGCCAACUAAGUCAGACGUGAAAUCCCCAGGCUUAACCUGGGAACUGCGUCUGAUACUGGAUGGCUUGAAUUCGGGAGAGGGAUGCAGAAUUCCAGGUGUAGCGGUGAAAUGCGUAGAUAUCUGGAGGAAUACCGGUGGCGAAGGCGGCAUCCUGGACCGAGAUUGACGCUGAUGAGCGAAAGCUAGGGGAGCAAACGGG
Molecule: ribosomal RNA, 253 nt
Filed under: uncultured bacterium
Lineage: Bacteria
Description: partial 16S ribosomal RNA
Rfam family: Bacterial small subunit ribosomal RNA
Source: RNAcentral